AUAAAUUUAUCUUAAAUAAAGAGUUUGUUUUGAAAACAAAAAAUUUUAUAAAAAAAAAAUUAAAUAAUAAUAAUAAUUUUUA
This 82-nucleotide transfer RNA is filed under the name Mayetiola destructor (Hessian fly). Its description in RNAcentral is "tRNA-Ser". The record is from RNAcentral. Lineage: Eukaryota; Metazoa; Arthropoda; Insecta; Diptera; Cecidomyiidae.